Molecule: transfer RNA, 75 nt
Filed under: Cyanobacteria bacterium SBLK
Lineage: Bacteria; Bacillati; Cyanobacteriota
Description: tRNA-Glu
Rfam family: tRNA
About the family: Transfer RNA (tRNA) molecules are approximately 80 nucleotides in length. Their secondary structure includes four short double-helical elements and three loops (D, anti-codon, and T loops). Further hydrogen bonds mediate the characteristic L-shaped molecular structure. tRNAs have two regions of fundamental functional importance: the anti-codon, which is responsible for specific mRNA codon recognition, and the 3' end, to which the tRNAs corresponding amino acid is attached (by aminoacyl-tRNA synthetases). tRNAs cope with the degeneracy of the genetic code in two manners: having more than one tRNA (with a specific anti-codon) for a particular amino acid; and 'wobble' base-pairing, i.e. permitting non-standard base-pairing at the 3rd anti-codon position.
Source: RNAcentral
AGUCCUGUAGGCGAAUUCAGUUAAGCCGCCAGUCUCUCAAACUGGAGAUUGCGGGUGCAAAUCCCGUCAGGACUU